This 253-nucleotide ribosomal RNA is filed under the name uncultured bacterium. RNAcentral's name for it is "partial 16S ribosomal RNA". It matches the Rfam family "Bacterial small subunit ribosomal RNA", at positions 524 to 776 of the family's 1533-position model. The record is from RNAcentral.
UACGUAGGUGGCAAGCGUUGUCCGGAUUUACUGGGCGUAAAGAGCGCGCAGGCGGUCGGAUAAGUCGAAUGUGAAAGCCCCCGGCUCAACUGGGGAGGGUCAUUCGAUACUGUUCGACUCGAAGGCAGGAGAGGGAUGCGGAAUUCCAGGUGUAGCGGUGAAAUGCGUAGAUAUCUGGAGGAACACCGGUGGCGAAGGCGGCAUCCUGGGCCGGUACUGACGCUGAGGAGCGAAAGCGUGGGGAGCAAACAGG